RNAcentral lists this ribosomal RNA (406 nucleotides) under uncultured bacterium. RNAcentral's name for it is "bacterial SSU rRNA". It matches the Rfam family "Bacterial small subunit ribosomal RNA", at positions 355 to 760 of the family's 1533-position model. The record is from RNAcentral.
UAAGGAAUAUUGCUCAAUGGGAGAAAUCCUGAAGCAGCAACGCCGCGUGGAGGAUGAAGGGUCUAUGACUUGUAAACUCCUGUAAAGAAGGAAAAAAUUCCCAUUUGAUGGGAGAUGAUGGUACUUCUGGAGUAAGCCCCGGCUAACUACGUGCCAGCAGCCGCGGUAAUACGUAGGGGGCAAGCGUUGUCCGGAUUUACUGGGUGUAAAGGGUGCUCAGGCGGAUUUGUAAGUCAGAGGUGAAAUCUUACAGCUUAACUGUGAAACUGCCUGUGAUACUGCAAGCCUAGAGUAUGGAAGAGAGUGAUGGAAUAUCUGGUGUAGCAGUGAAAUGCGUAGAUAUCAGAUAGAACACCAAUGGCGAAGGCAGUCACUUGGUCCAUUACUGACGCUAAAGCACGAAAGC